This is a long non-coding RNA of Cyprinus carpio (common carp), 351 nucleotides long. RefSeq lists it as uncharacterized. The transcript has 3 exons. Lineage: Eukaryota; Metazoa; Chordata; Actinopteri; Cypriniformes; Cyprinidae. The record is from RefSeq and is a predicted model, not a curated record.
CUUGCCAUUGAUGAGCUGGAGGCCAAUCAGCCCUAUGUGUUGACGUUAAAAUGAAGCAGUGAGCUGUUUACCCUUGACAUUUAGGAGCCCUUUCCAACACCAAAAAACCCAUAGGGUCACCCUUUGAGCCAGCAUAGGCAUGCUACAAAAUGCAAACUUUGACCCUUGAGGUUGGAUUUACUGAACUGAGCCCACUAGCUCCACCUCUGCCCAAACUGCGGUAAUUAUACAGUGAAGAGUGAAGUGCAGAGAUUUUGGUGCACUGCUGAGAUAACAUCAUGCAGUAAACCUCUUACCUGGCAGAGAGAAUGAUCACUCGGGCCUCCAGCUCUUUGGCCUCCAGAAGCAGGG